AGGUUACUGCUAUCGGUGUUCGCCUAAGCCAUGCGAGUCAUAUGUUCGUAAGAACAUGGCGUACUGCUCAGUAACACGUGGAUAACCUGCCCUUGGGUCCGGCAUAACCCCGGGAAACUGGGGAUAAUUCCGGAUAACGCACAUAUGCUGGAAUGCUUUAUGCGUAAAAUGGAUUCGUCUGCCCAAGGAUGGGUCUGCGGCCUAUCAGGUAGUAGUGGGUGUAAUGUACCUACUAGCCUACGACGGGUACGGGUUGUGAGAGCAAGAGCCCGGAGAUGGAUUCUGAGACAUGAAUCCAGGCCCUACGGGGCGCAGCAGGCGCGAAAACUUUACAAUGCGGGAAACCGUGAUAAGGGGACACCGAGUGCCAGCAUCCUAUGCUGGCUGUCCGGGUGUGUAAAAUACACCUGUUAGCAAGGGCCGGGCAAGACCGGUGCCAGCCGCCGCGGUAACACCGGCGGCCCGAGUGGUGAUCGUGAUUAUUGGGUCUAAAGGGUCCGUAGCCGGUUUGGUCAGUCCUCCGGGAAAUCUGACAGCUUAACUGUUAGGCUUUCGGAGGAUACUGCCAGACUUGGAACCGGGAGAGGUAAGAGGUACUACAGGGGUAGGAGUGAAAUCUUGUAAUCCCUGUGGGACCGCCUGUGGCGAAGGCGUCUUACCAGAACGGGUUCGACGGUGAGGGACGAAAGCUGGGGGCACGAACCGGAUUAGAUACCCGGGUAGUCCCAGCCGUAAACGAUGCUCGCUAGGUGUCAGGCAUGGCGCGACCGUGUCUGGUGCCGCAGGGAAGCCGUGAAGCGAGCCACCUGGGAAGUACGGCCGCAAGGCUGAAACUUAA
RNAcentral lists this ribosomal RNA (838 nucleotides) under uncultured archaeon. Its description in RNAcentral is "bacterial SSU rRNA". It matches the Rfam family "Archaeal small subunit ribosomal RNA", at positions 21 to 859 of the family's 1478-position model. The record is from RNAcentral.